This 378-nucleotide ribosomal RNA is filed under the name uncultured bacterium. RNAcentral describes it as "bacterial SSU rRNA". It matches the Rfam family "Bacterial small subunit ribosomal RNA", at positions 29 to 432 of the family's 1533-position model. The record is from RNAcentral.
AACGAACGCUGGCGGCUGGCCUCAAACAUGCAAGUCUAGGGGGUGUAGCAAUACAUCACCGGCGGACGGGUGCGUAACGCGUGGGAAUAUACCUAUCGAUUCGGAACAACUGAGGGAAACUUCAGCUAAUACCGAAUACGUCCUAACGGAGAAAGAUUUAUCGUCGAUAGAUUAGCCCGCGUUCGAUUAGCUAGUUGGUGGGGUAACGGCCCACCAAGGCGACGAUCGAUAGCUGUUCUGAGAGGAAGAUCAGCCACACUGGGACUGAGACACGGCCCAGACUCCUACGGGAGGCAGCAGUUGGGAAUCUUGGACAAUGGGGGAACCCUGAUCCAGCCAUGCCGCGUGAGUGAUGAAGGCCUUCGGGUUGUUAAAACU